GGGGUUUUUGAAAACUUGUUCACUCCUUACGGGGGAGACAGUCAUGAGACGUGAGUAUAAGACCUGAGUGUAAAGACCUUAGGGUGAAGCAAUUGGAGGGCAAGCUUUGGUGCCAGCAGCCGCGGUAACUCCAACUCCAAGAGUGUCUAUGGUGGAUGCUGCAGUUAAAGGGUCCGUAGUCGUGAAUGCAAUUAAAUGUCGUUGUUCAAUAGCGAUGAGUUUGCUAAUGUUUGCGGAACGGAUAGGGAGUGUAGUAUAGACUGGCGAAGAAUGAAAUCUCAAGACCCAGUUUGGACUAACGGAGGCGAAGGCGACACUCUUAGACGUAUCUUAGGAUCAAGGACGAAGGCAGGAGUAUCGAAAGUGAUUAGACACCGCUGUAGUUCCUGCAGUAAACUAUGCCGACAGCCUGUGUGUGAGAAUACGUGGGCGGGAGAAAUCUUAGUGUUCGGGCUCUGGGGAUAGUACGCUCGCAAGGGUGAAACUUAAAGCGAAAUUGACGGAAGGACACUACCAGGAGUGGAUUGUGCUGCUUAAUUUAACUCAACGCGGGAAAACUUACCAGGGUCAAGUCAUUCGUUGAUCGAAUACGUGAGAAUGGCAGGAUGGGUUGCAUGGAAGGGGG
Molecule: ribosomal RNA, 625 nt
Filed under: Enterocytozoon bieneusi
Lineage: Eukaryota; Fungi; Microsporidia; Enterocytozoonidae
Description: SSU rRNA
Rfam family: Microsporidia small subunit ribosomal RNA
Source: RNAcentral